RNAcentral lists this transfer RNA (52 nucleotides) under Parachtes riberai. Its description in RNAcentral is "tRNA-Cys". Lineage: Eukaryota; Metazoa; Arthropoda; Arachnida; Araneae; Dysderidae. The record is from RNAcentral.
UAUUAUCUAGUUUAUUAACAUCAAAUUGCAAACUUGAAUAAACUCUGAAUAA